Molecule: ribosomal RNA, 397 nt
Filed under: uncultured bacterium
Lineage: Bacteria
Description: bacterial SSU rRNA
Rfam family: Bacterial small subunit ribosomal RNA
Source: RNAcentral
GAGCGCCGUAGCAAUACGGAGCGGCAGACGGGAGAGUAACACGUGGGAACGUACCCUUUGGUUCGGAACAACCCAGGGAAACUUGGGCUAAUACCGGAUAAGCCCUUACGGGGAAAGAUUCAUCGCCGAAGGAUCGGCCCGCGUCUGAUUAGCUAGUUGGUGGGGUAAUGGCCCACCAAGGCGACGAUCAGUAGCUGGUCUGAGAGGAUGAUCAGCCUCACUGGGACUGAGACACGGCCCAGACUCCUACGGGAGGCAGCAGUGGGGAAUAUUGGACAAUGGGCGCAAGCCUGAUCCAGCCAUGCCGCGUGGGUGAUGAAGGCCCUAGGGUUGUAAAGCCCUUUCGGCGGGGAAGAUAAUGACGGUACCCGCAGAAGAAGCCCCGGCUAACUUCGUG